RNAcentral lists this ribosomal RNA (461 nucleotides) under uncultured bacterium. RNAcentral describes it as "partial 16S ribosomal RNA". It matches the Rfam family "Bacterial small subunit ribosomal RNA", at positions 338 to 795 of the family's 1533-position model. The record is from RNAcentral.
CCUACGGGAGGCAGCAGUGAGGAAUAUUGGUCAAUGGGCGCGAGCCUGAACCAGCCAAGUCGCGUGAGGGAUGACGGUCCUACGGAUUGUAAACCUCUUUUGCCGGGGAGCAAGCGUGCGUUCGUGAACGCGCGUCGAGAGUACCCGGAGAAAAAGCAUCGGCUAACUCCGUGCCAGCAGCCGCGGUAAUACGGAGGAUGCGAGCGUUAUCCGGAUUUAUUGGGUUUAAAGGGUGCGUAGGCGGGAUGCCAAGUCAGCGGUAAAAAUGCGGUGCUCAACCGUAAAAUUGCAAUUGAUACUGGCAGCCUUGAGUACAGUUGAGGUAGGCGGAAUUCAUGGUGUAGCGGUGAAAUGCUUAGAUAUCACGAAGAACUCCGAUUGCGAAGGCAGCCUACUAAACUGCCACUGACAUUGAUGCUCGAAAGUGUGGGUAUCAAACAGGAUUAGAUACCCCUGUAGUC